Non-coding RNA from Pelobates cultripes (western spadefoot toad), 226 nucleotides. The record is from the annotation of a GenBank genome assembly. NCBI's taxonomy places the organism in Eukaryota, Metazoa, Chordata, Amphibia, Anura, Pelobatidae.
GGAGUGUUAUGGAUAGAAAUUAAUGUAGGUAAAAUGUCUAUUUACUAUGUAUACCUGUAUUCAGUAUUUACUCAAAAUGGCUGCUAGAGAACCCCCUCCCAUCGACCAAACACCUUGUGUAACAAGAUGGCGUCUCCAUCAGGAGUAAAAUCCCGAGAUGAUGGUGACAUCACAUUUUGGAGGAAGUGCAUUAGAUAAGACACUUAACACUCGACCAAUUAAAGAU